AGCGGCAGCUUAAUACAUGCAAGUCGAGGGGCAGCAUGAAGUAGCAAUACUUUGAUGGCGACCGGCAAACGGGUGCGGAACACGUACACAACCUUCCUUUUAGUGGGGAAUAGCCCAGAGAAAUUUGGGAUUAAUACCCCGUAACAUAACCCGAGUGGCAUCACUUGGUUAUUAUAGCUUCGGCGCUAGAUGAUGGGUGUGCGUAUGAUUAGAUAGUUGGCGAGGUAACGGCUCACCAAGUCUACGAUCAUUAGCUGAUGUGAGAGCAUGAUCAGCCACACGGGCACUGAGACACGGGCCCGACUCCUACGGGAGGCAGCAGUAAGGAAUAUUGGUCAAUGGACGCAAGUCUGAACCAGCUAUGCCGCGUGAAGGAUUAAGGUCCUCUGGAUUGUAAACUUCUUUUAUCUGGGACGAAAAAAGGUCUUUCUAGACCCCUUGACGGUACCAGAUGAAUAAGCACCGGCUAACUCCGUGCCAGCAGCCGCGGUAAUACGGAGGGUGCAAGCGUUAUCCGGAUUCACUGGGUUUAAAGGGUGCGUAGGCGGGCAGGUAAGUCAGUGGUGAAAUCCUGGAGCUCAACUCCAGAACUGCCAUUGAUACUAUCUGUCUUGAAUAUUGUGGAGGUAAGCGGAAUAUGUCAUGUAGCGGUGAAAUGCUUAGAUAUGACAUAGAACACCCAUUGCGAAGGCAGCUUACUACGCAUAUAUUGACGCUGAGGCACGAAAGCGUGGGGAUCAAACAGGAUUAGAUACCCUGGUAGUCCACGCCCUAAACGAUGGAUACUCGACAUACGCGAUACACUGUGUGUGUCUGAGCGAAAGCAUUAAGUAUCCCA
This 838-nucleotide ribosomal RNA is filed under the name Bacteroidetes bacterium SCGC AAA206-P04. Its description in RNAcentral is "bacterial SSU rRNA". It matches the Rfam family "Bacterial small subunit ribosomal RNA", at positions 38 to 871 of the family's 1533-position model. Lineage: Bacteria; Pseudomonadati; Bacteroidota. The record is from RNAcentral.